AUGAUUGCAGAUUAUGAUGCCAUGCCGUUCCGUCAAGAAAAUCCCCGUUAAUUAUCAAACAAAAUUCUGGACAAGGAAUACGGAGCAAUCCAGCAACCCAAGAGUUACAGAAUGUUAAAUAUAUAUAUAAACUGACCUUAGGCCAUUGAGCAGCAUCCAUGAGUGGGUUGAGAAAGGAAAAGGGCUGGUUCUAAUGAGCAAGUUAGAAUGAUUUUGAAGGAGAAAAUGAAGGGUCUGCAAAUGUGUAAAUAUAAAGAAGCAGGGAAAGAAUGUUUUGGAAUUCUAUUGUGUUUUGGCUUUAUUUGGUGAGUUAGAUUUGUAUAAUGACUGAUGACAGAAGCAGAGGAUUUUCUUUUUGACUUACUGUUGUGAAAUCAAACUAUUUUAGUGUUG
This is a long non-coding RNA of Cynara cardunculus var. scolymus (artichoke), 393 nucleotides long. RefSeq lists it as uncharacterized. The record is from RefSeq and is a predicted model, not a curated record. The transcript has 2 exons. Lineage: Eukaryota; Viridiplantae; Streptophyta; Magnoliopsida; Asterales; Asteraceae.